AGAGUUUGAUCCUGGCUCAGGAUGAACGCUAGCGACAGGCUUAACACAUGCAAGUCGAGGGGCAGCACGGGAGUAGCAAUACAACUGGUGGCGACCGGCGCACGGGUGAGUAACGCGUAUGCAACCUACCUAUCAGAGGGGAAUAACCCGGCGAAAGUCGGACUAAUACCGCAUAAAACAGGGGCACCGCAUGGUGAUAUUUGUUAAAGAAAUUCGCUGAUAGAUGGGCAUGCGUUCCAUUAGGUAGUUGGUGAGGUAACGGCUCACCAAGCCGACGAUGGAUAGGGGAACUGAGAGGUUGGUCCCCCACACUGGUACUGAGACACGGACCAGACUCCUACGGGAGGCAGCAGUGAGGAAUAUUGGUCAAUGGGCGGGAGCCUGAACCAGCCAAGUCGCGUGAAGGAAGAAGGAUCUAUGGUUCGUAAACUUCUUUUGCAGGGGAAUAAAGUGCAGGACGUGUCCUGUUUUGUAUGUACCCUGAGAAUAAGGAUCGGCUAACUCCGUGCCAGCAGCCGCGGUAAUACGGAGGAUCCGAGCGUUAUCCGGAUUUAUUGGGUUUAAAGGGUGCGUAGGUGGUUUGGUAAGUCAGCGGUGAAAGUUUGCAGCUUAACUGUAAAAAUGCCGUUGAAACUGUCGGACUUGAGUGUAAAUGAGGUAGGCGGAAUGCGUGGUGUAGCGGUGAAAUGCAUAGAUAUCACGCAGAACUCCGAUUGCGAAGGCAGCUUACUAAGCUACAACUGACACUGAAGCACGAAAGCGUGGGGAUCAAACAGGAUUAGAUACCCUGGUAGUCG
This 797-nucleotide ribosomal RNA is filed under the name uncultured bacterium. RNAcentral's name for it is "bacterial SSU rRNA". It matches the Rfam family "Bacterial small subunit ribosomal RNA", at positions 8 to 796 of the family's 1533-position model. The record is from RNAcentral.